CCUACGGGAGGCUGCAGUGAGGAAUAUUGGUCAAUGGACGCAAGUCUGAACCAGCCAUGCCGCGUGCAGGAAGACGGCUCUAUGAGUUGUAAACUGCUUUUGUACGAGGGUAAACGCAGAUACGCGUAUCUGUCUGAAAGUAUCGUACGAAUAAGGAUCGGCUAACUCCGUGCCAGCAGCCGCGGUAAUACGGAGGAUUCAAGCGUUAUCCGGAUGUAUUGGGUUUAAAGGGUGCGUAGGCGGUCGGAUAAGUUAGAGGUGAAAUCCCGAGGCUCAACUUCGGAAUUGCCUCUGAUACUGUUCGGCUAGAGAGUAGUUGCGGUAGGCGGAAUGUAUGGUGUAGCGGUGAAAUGCUUAGAGAUCAUACAGAACACCGAUUGCGAAGGCAGCUUACCAAGCUACUUCUGACGUUGAGGCACGAAAGCGUGGGGAGCGAACAGGAUUAGAUACCCCUGUAGUC
RNAcentral lists this ribosomal RNA (460 nucleotides) under uncultured bacterium. Its description in RNAcentral is "partial 16S ribosomal RNA". It matches the Rfam family "Bacterial small subunit ribosomal RNA", at positions 338 to 795 of the family's 1533-position model. The record is from RNAcentral.